UUAAGCGACUAAGCGUACACGGUGGAUGCCCUGGCAGUCAGAGGCGAUGAAGGACGUGCUAAUCUGCGAAAAGCGUCGGUAAGGUGAUAUGAACCGUUAUAACCGGCGAUGUCCGAAUGGGGAAACCCAGUGUGAUUCGUCACACUAUCGUUAACUGAAUACAUAGGUUAACGAGGCGAACCGGGGGAACUGAAACAUCUAAGUACCCCGAGGAAAAGAAAUCAACCGAGAUUCCCCCAGUAGCGGCGAGCGAACGGGGAGCAGCCCAGAGUCUGAAUCAGCUUGUGUGUUAGUGGAACGGUCUGGAAAGUCCGACGGUACAGGGUGAUAGUCCCGUACACCAAAAUGCACAGGUUGUGAACUCGAAGAGUAGGGCGGGACACGUGGUAUCCUGUCUGAAUAUGGGGGGACCAUCCUCCAAGGCUAAAUACUCCUGACUGACCGAUAGUGAACCAGUACCGUGAGGGAAAGGCGAAAAGAACCCCGGCGAGGGGAGUGAAAAAGAACCUGAAACCGUGUACGUACAAGCAGUGGGAGCACCUUCGGGUGUGACUGCGUACCUUUUGUAUAAUGGGUCAGCGACUUAUAUUCUGUAGCAAGGUUAACCGUAUAGGGGAGCCGCAGGGAAACCGAGUCUUAACUGGGCGUUAAGUUGCAGGGUAUAGACCCGAAACCCGGUGAUCUAGCCAUGGGCAGGUUGAAGGUUGGGUAACACUAACUGGAGGACCGAACCGACUAAUGUUGAAAAAUUAGCGGAUGACUUGUGGCUGGGGGUGAAAGGCCAAUCAAACCGGGAGAUAGCUGGUUCUCCCCGAAAGCUAUUUAGGUAGCGCCUCGUGAAUUCAUCUUCGGGGGUAGAGCACUGUUUCGGCUAGGGGGUCAUCCCGACUUACCAACCCGAUGCAAACUACGAAUACCGAAGAAUGUUAUCACGGGAGACACACGGCGGGUGCUAACGUCCGUCGUGAAGAGGGAAACAACCCAGACCGCCAGCUAAGGUCCCAAAGUCAUGGUUAAGUGGGAAACGAUGUGGGAAGGCACAGACAGCCAGGAUGUUGGCUUAGAAGCAGCCAUCAUUUAAAGAAAGCGUAAUAGCUCACUGGUCGAGUCGGCCUGCGCGGAAGAUGUAACGGGGCUAAACCAUGCACCGAAGCUGCGGCAGCGACACUAUGUGUUGUUGGGUAGGGGAGCGUUCUGUAAGCCUGCGAAGGUGUGCUGUGAGGCAUGCUGGAGGUAUCAGAAGUGCGAAUGCUGACAUAAGUAACGAUAAAGCGGGUGAAAAGCCCGCUCGCCGGAAGACCAAGGGUUCCUGUCCAACGUUAAUCGGGGCAGGGUGAGUCGACCCCUAAGGCGAGGCCGAAAGGCGUAGUCGAUGGGAAACAGGUUAAUAUUCCUGUACUUGGUGUUACUGCGAAGGGGGGACGGAGAAGGCUAUGUUAGCCGGGCGACGGUUGUCCCGGUUUAAGCAUGUAGGCUGGUUGUCCAGGCAAAUCCGGAUAAUCAAGGCUGAGGUGUGAUGACGAGGCACUACGGUGCUGAAGUAACAAAUGCCCUGCUUCCAGGAAAAGCCUCUAAGCAUCAGGUAACAUCAAAUCGUACCCCAAACCGACACAGGUGGUCAGGUAGAGAAUACCAAGGCGCUUGAGAGAACUCGGGUGAAGGAACUAGGCAAAAUGGUGCCGUAACUUCGGGAGAAGGCACGCUGGUGUGUAGGUGAAGCCCCUGCGGGUGGAGCUGAGACCAGUCGAAGAUACCAGCUGGCUGCAACUGUUUAUUAAAAACACAGCACUGUGCAAACACGAAAGUGGACGUAUACGGUGUGACGCCUGCCCGGUGCCGGAAGGUUAAUUGAUGGGGUUAUCCGUAAGGAGAAGCUCUUGAUCGAAGCCCCGGUAAACGGCGGCCGUAACUAUAACGGUCCUAAGGUAGCGAAAUUCCUUGUCGGGUAAGUUCCGACCUGCACGAAUGGCGUAAUGAUGGCCAGGCUGUCUCCACCCGAGACUCAGUGAAAUUGAACUCGCUGUGAAGAUGCAGUGUACCCGCGGCAAGACGGAAAGACCCCGUGAACCUUUACUAUAGCUUGACACUGAACAUUGAGCCUUGAUGUGUAGGAUAGGUGGGAGGCUUUGAAGCGUGGACGCCAGUCUGCGUGGAGCCAACCUUGAAAUACCACCCUUUAAUGUUUGAUGUUCUAACGUUGGCCCCUUACCGGGGUUGCGGACAGUGUCUGGUGGGUAGUUUGACUGGGGCGGUCUCCUCCCAAAGCGUAACGGAGGAGCACGAAGGUUAGCUAAUCCUGGUCGGACAUCAGGAGGUUAGUGCAAUGGCAUAAGCUAGCUUGACUGCGAGCGUGACGGCGCGAGCAGGUGCGAAAGCAGGUCAUAGUGAUCCGGUGGUUCUGAAUGGAAGGGCCAUCGCUCAACGGAUAAAAGGUACUCCGGGGAUAACAGGCUGAUACCGCCCAAGAGUUCAUAUCGACGGCGGUGUUUGGCACCUCGAUGUCGGCUCAUCACAUCCUGGGGCUGAAGUAGGUCCCAAGGGUAUGGCUGUUCGCCAUUUAAAGUGGUACGCGAGCUGGGUUUAGAACGUCGUGAGACAGUUCGGUCCCUAUCUGCCGUGGGCGCUGGAGAAUUGAGGGGGGCUGCUCCUAGUACGAGAGGACCGGAGUGGACGCAUCACUGGUGUUCGGGUUGUCAUGCCAAUGGCACUGCCCGGUAGCUAAAUGCGGAAGAGAUAAGUGCUGAAAGCAUCUAAGCACGAAACUUGCCCCGAGAUGAGUUCUCCCUGAGACUUUAAGUCUCCUGAAGGAACGUUAAAGACGAUGACGUUGAUAGGCCGGGUGUGUAAGCGCAGCGAUGCGUUGAGCUAACCGGUACUAAUGAACCGUGAGGCUUAACCUU
RNAcentral lists this ribosomal RNA (2900 nucleotides) under Klebsiella pneumoniae. Its description in RNAcentral is "bacterial LSU rRNA". It matches the Rfam family "Bacterial large subunit ribosomal RNA". The record is from RNAcentral. Lineage: Bacteria; Pseudomonadati; Pseudomonadota; Gammaproteobacteria; Enterobacterales; Enterobacteriaceae.